CACGAAGAGGCCUCCAUCGGUCUUUCAACCUUGCCUAUCGUACCCUUUUUGUUGUUCCCUCGGCGGGGUAAAGCCCGCCGGCGGGAAGCUCGAAAAGCCCUUUGCAAUCAGCAUCCAAAAACUCUGAUUACAAAACCUUAAAUCGUUA
This 148-nucleotide unclassified non-coding RNA is filed under the name soil metagenome. RNAcentral describes it as "partial internal transcribed spacer 1". The record is from RNAcentral.